RNAcentral lists this ribosomal RNA (403 nucleotides) under uncultured bacterium. Its description in RNAcentral is "partial 16S ribosomal RNA". It matches the Rfam family "Bacterial small subunit ribosomal RNA", at positions 28 to 526 of the family's 1533-position model. The record is from RNAcentral.
GACGAACGCUGGCGGCGUGCCUAAUACAUGCAAGUCGAACGCAGUGGGGACGGGUGCGUAACACGUGGGUAACCUCCCAUCAGAUGGGAUAACCCUUGGAUACAGGUGCUAACCCGCUAUUGAUGGCUGGACCCGCGGUGCAUUAGCUAGUGGGUGCGGUAACGGCUCACCAAGGCGACGAUGCAUAGCCGACCUGAGAGGGUGAUCGGCCACACUGGGACUGAGACACGGCCCAGACUCCUACGGGAGGCAGCAGUAGGGAAUCUUCGGCAAUGGACGAAAGUCUGACCGAGCAACGCCGCGUGAGUGAAGAAGGUUUUCGGAUCGUAAAACUCUGUUGUUAGAGAAGCGGUAUCUAACCAGAAAGCCACGGCUAACUACGUGCCAGCAGCCGCGGUAAUUC